RNAcentral lists this ribosomal RNA (252 nucleotides) under uncultured bacterium. RNAcentral's name for it is "partial 16S ribosomal RNA". It matches the Rfam family "Bacterial small subunit ribosomal RNA", at positions 57 to 305 of the family's 1533-position model. The record is from RNAcentral.
GCAAGUCGAGCGGUAAGCUCACUUCGGUUAGCCUAGAGCGGCGGACGGGUGAGUAACCCGUGGAUAAUCUACCUCCUUGUUUGGGAUAGCUUGUGGAAACUACGGUAAUACCGAAUGAGAAUCAUUAGUCAAAAGGCUGUUGAAGGAAAGGCGCUGAGUCGUCGCAAGGGGAUGGGCCCGCGGCCGAUUAGCUAGACGGCAGGGUAAAAGCCUACCGUGGCAAUGAUGGGUAGCCGGCCUGAGAGGGUGAUC